AUGUCUCAAUGGCAUAGUGGUUAGGACGAGCGUUAAACCACUAUGCCAUUGAGACAUUU
RNAcentral lists this microRNA precursor (59 nucleotides) under Parasteatoda tepidariorum (common house spider). RNAcentral describes it as "microRNA pte-mir-11957 precursor". Lineage: Eukaryota; Metazoa; Arthropoda; Arachnida; Araneae; Theridiidae. The record is from miRBase by way of RNAcentral.